CCUACGGGGGGCAGCAGUGGGGGAUAUUGCACAAUGGGGGGAACCCUGAUGCAGCGACGCCGCGUGGGUGAUGGCGCGCUUCGGGGCGUAAAGCUCUAUCGUCAGGGACGAUGAUGACGGUACCUGACGAGGAAGCCCCGGCUAACUACGUGCCAGCAGCCGCGGUAAUACGUAGGGGGCGAGCGUUUUCCGGAUUUACUGGGGGUAAAGGGGGCGUAGGCGGACUUUUAAGUGAAAGGUGAAAUACACGGGACCAACGCGGGGACUGCAUUUGAAACUGGAAGGCUAGAGUGCAGGAGAGGAGAAUGGAAUUCCUAGUGUAGCGGUGAAAUGCGUAGAGAUUAGGAGGAACACCAGUGGCGAAGGCGA
This 369-nucleotide ribosomal RNA is filed under the name uncultured bacterium. RNAcentral describes it as "partial 16S ribosomal RNA". It matches the Rfam family "Bacterial small subunit ribosomal RNA", at positions 338 to 724 of the family's 1533-position model. The record is from RNAcentral.